This 459-nucleotide ribosomal RNA is filed under the name uncultured bacterium. RNAcentral's name for it is "partial 16S ribosomal RNA". It matches the Rfam family "Bacterial small subunit ribosomal RNA", at positions 338 to 795 of the family's 1533-position model. The record is from RNAcentral.
CCUAUAGGUGGCAGCAGUGAGGAAUAUUGGUCCAUGGGCGCGAGCCUGAACCAGCCAAGUCGCGUGAGGGAAGACGGUCCUAUGGAUUGUAAACCUCUUUUGUCGGGGAGCAAAAGACGCCACGCGUGGCGUUCCGAGAGUACCCGAAGACAAAGCAUCGGCUAACUCCGUGCCAGCAGCCGCGGUAAUACGGAGGAGGCGAGCGUUAUCCGGAUUUAUGUGGUUUAAAGGGUGCGCAGGCGGAAGAGCAAGUCAACGGUAAAAUUGAGAGGCUCAACCUCUUCGAGCCGUGGAAACUGGUUUUCUUGAGUGAGCGAGAAGUAUGCGGAAUGCGGGGUGGAGCGGUGAAAUGCAUAGAUAUCGCGCAGAACCCCGAUUGCGAAGGCAGCGUGCCGUGCCGCCACUGACGCUGAGGCACGAAAGCGCGGGGAUCGAACAGGAUUAGAUACCCCAGUAGUC